GACGAACGCUGGCGGCGUGCUUAACACAUGCAAGUCGAACGGAAAGGCCCUGCUUUUGUGGGGUGCUCGAGUGGCGAACGGGUGAGUAACACGUGAGUAACCUGCCCUUGACUUUGGGAUAACUUCAGGAAACUGGGGCUAAUACCGGAUAGGAGCUCCUGCUGCAUGGUGGGGGUUGGAAAGUUUCGGCGGUUGGGGAUGGACUCGCGGCUUAUCAGCUUGUUGGUGGGGUAGUGGCUUACCAAGGCUUUGACGGGUAGCCGGCCUGAGAGGGUGACCGGCCACAUUGGGACUGAGAUACGGCCCAGACUCCUACGGGAGGCAGCAGUGGGGAAUAUUGCACAAUGGGCGGAAGCCUGAUGCAGCAACGCCGCGUGCGGGAUGACGGCCUUCGGGUUGUAAACCGCUUUCGCCUGUGACGAAGCGAGAGUGACGGUAAUGGGUAAAGAAGCACCGGCUAACUACGU
This 467-nucleotide ribosomal RNA is filed under the name uncultured bacterium. RNAcentral describes it as "partial 16S ribosomal RNA". It matches the Rfam family "Bacterial small subunit ribosomal RNA", at positions 28 to 506 of the family's 1533-position model. The record is from RNAcentral.